GCGGCGCGCAGGGAGGGGCAGGCGGAUGGGUGCCUGUGUCCUGAGGCGGCCUUUCAGCUCAAGGGGGGUCAGGCAGCUGUCAGCCCCCGAGGUUUAAAUGCGCUGCCGGAGGAGGAGCGCCGUCCUUUCCUCCCACUCCCCCUGAAGGGAGGGGGGUUGCGCCCGCGGUGCUCAGCUCUUCGGCUCGCCCCGCUCCCCCUCCUUAUCAGCGGGCAGGCUGGCCGGCCGGCUGGCUGACUCACUGCUGUGGCAGGGAGAGGGAACGGCCCGGCGGGAGCCCCCGAGGCCGCAACCGCUUCUGCGGAGCCGCAGCGCUCCCCGCAGGCUUCAGCCGCUGCCGGGCACAUGGAAACCGCCCUGCCCGGUUGUGUGUCCUGAUCCCACCGCUGUCACCUGGCACGCUGCUCCAGUGCUUCGGAAGAUGGAGGUGGACGGGUGCCAGGCAAGGCUUAUAAGUAAAAAAAAGAAAAUAAAAAAUCUCCAUCUACAAUUCAACUGGCCUGAACGCUACUCGACUUCUCUGCCAUUGAAUUUUAAAUAUAAACAAGCCCCAAUGUCCCUAGGGAUAACGUAUAGAAAAGGAAAAAAAGGCUAUGCUACUAAAGAUGUUCCAAUUUAUACACAAAACCAACUGAUAUUCAUGAAAGCCUUGCUGAGGCUGCUGUGAAACAAGUUUGGAGCAGAUCUGUAGGCAUUACUGCUGUCAGUAAAUUCAGGGUAUCUGCUAAAACAGAGAUCAGAGGUCUGGAGAAGAUGUUAUUUCAUAUAGUAGAAAUUGCCAGGAAAUGAAGAAGCACGGUUAAAAUUACAAGCCUAGUGGUCAGACUGAAGAACACUCAACAGAGCCCUUGGUAGAGGUCAAAUGUCUUACUAAAAAAAGCUCAAGUGGAUGUGCUUGAAGUAAAGAAAAAGGAACAUGCAAGUGAAAUAAAUCUACACUAGACAUAAACCAACUUCCUUGAUUUUAAUUAAUAUAACUUCCUGUCUCAGCUACCCCCUUACCUGUUUCAAACUCUGUCCUCAGUUGAUCAUACAGCACUGCCUCAAGAUACUUAUUUUUAGCAUUAAUUUCUGUAUUGGUAGGUGAUGGUCCUGCCACAGGGAGAUAAAGUAGACAGUUUGUCAUGGAACAUAAGUAGGAAAGACCCCCCAAAAGUACAUGCUUAAAAACUACAUUUUUACCUGAAGUUUAUUCCUAUGGAAGGACUCAUCUGCUGUUUUUCUGGGCUUUAUGGAGAGUCUGAAUUAAAAACAUCUCGGGUCAUUUUGGUUUGGUCUAGCUGGUGGGAGAAGUCUUUUGUUACCUCUUGAGUGAAGGGUUUGUGUGGCAUCAUCUGAAAUGUGGGAUGUCCCAGGUCUUUGCAGGAUGAAUCUCUGCGAAUAUAUCACUAUAUAAAUGGGAAAAAUGUUUUCAAUUGUUUGUACAUUUUUCUCUGAUUAAGUGCUGGUAUUUGCAUAUGUUUAAUCUUUUGAUAUCAUGGGCUGCACAUUUUUCUGUAAUGAUGCAGCAAAAUGCCUGUCUCCUUGAGAGCAGACAUGCAUUUUUGUGGCUUGAAAGAGCAAUUGUUUACUUGACUGAAAAGCUGUGCACGGUGUGGUACACACAGUGCAGUUACUGCAGGCAGUGGUACAGCAUGUCACAGUAGGAAUUCUGAUUUCAGCAUUGUUAAUGAGUAGUUAAAUAGUCAAGUUAUGUACAGUUUCAUUAUAAAAUCUUAAUUAUAACCCAGAAAAUUAGUUAUGUUUUAAUUCUUGCUGGGAAAUGGCUGCAGUUACAACAUAUUUUCUCAAUUUGCCUUGAACAAGUUCUUAUUGAAGCUACUGUAAAGAUUGCUCUGUUUCUGCUAAAAAUAAAUGCAUGAAUGGAGUA
Long non-coding RNA from Calypte anna (Anna's hummingbird), 1870 nucleotides. RefSeq lists it as uncharacterized. The transcript is spliced from 2 exons. NCBI's taxonomy places the organism in Eukaryota, Metazoa, Chordata, Aves, Apodiformes, Trochilidae. The record is from RefSeq and is a predicted model, not a curated record.